This 301-nucleotide long non-coding RNA is filed under the name Elaeis guineensis (African oil palm). RNAcentral describes it as "long non-coding RNA (EGUI_LNC081685)". Lineage: Eukaryota; Viridiplantae; Streptophyta; Magnoliopsida; Arecales; Arecaceae. The record is from RNAcentral.
CAGGAUCUCCAUCCCGGAUCAAAAAAUCUAGAUAUCUGUCCGGUUGAUGCGGUACUCUACUGGAUCGUCUUAAGGAUAUUUAUAUAUCGGGCUCCAGAUUUGAUCUUAUCAAAUUCGGUUCAGAUUUAGUUACUAUUGUCGGUUCUUCUACCUGUCGAACUUCAUCAAGCUCGACUUUAGAGGCACUUGUUCCUUCACUAGGAAAUUUUUUUUUCAAAAAGUGUGUCUUACUGCUGACAAAUACCUUUUAUUCAGUAGAAAGAUAAAAGUAGUAUCCCUUCGUUUUCUUGGGGUACCCUAC